RNAcentral lists this long non-coding RNA (246 nucleotides) under Lathyrus oleraceus (garden pea). RNAcentral's name for it is "Pisum sativum (pea) long non-coding RNA (PSAT_LNC003220)". The record is from RNAcentral. Lineage: Eukaryota; Viridiplantae; Streptophyta; Magnoliopsida; Fabales; Fabaceae.
UAAUAUUUCAGAAGUUGACAAAAAAAGAAAAUAAAAAGAAAAAAAGAAAAUAGAAAAAGAAAAAAACGAAUGAAAAAAUAGAAGAAUGUCAAUACAUACUCCUUUUGAAAAAGAAAAAAGGAAUAAAAAGAGAAAGGAGAAUAGAAAACAAUUGUUAUAGAGUUAUUGAAGUGAAUGAAAUCUUUUGUAAAUUCAACUCCCGUAGUUUUUUUCAAGUCUCUUUUGUCUCUUUGAAUUUUAGCCUAG